GGGCGUAUGGUCUAGAGGUAUGAUACCUGCUUUGGGUCUAGCUGGCCAAUUGCAGGGGGUCUUCGGUUCGAAUCCGGAUUCGCCCC
RNAcentral lists this transfer RNA (86 nucleotides) under Lentinula boryana. Its description in RNAcentral is "tRNA-Pro". It matches the Rfam family "tRNA". Rfam says of the family: Transfer RNA (tRNA) molecules are approximately 80 nucleotides in length. Their secondary structure includes four short double-helical elements and three loops (D, anti-codon, and T loops). Further hydrogen bonds mediate the characteristic L-shaped molecular structure. tRNAs have two regions of fundamental functional importance: the anti-codon, which is responsible for specific mRNA codon recognition, and the 3' end, to which the tRNAs corresponding amino acid is attached (by aminoacyl-tRNA synthetases). tRNAs cope with the degeneracy of the genetic code in two manners: having more than one tRNA (with a specific anti-codon) for a particular amino acid; and 'wobble' base-pairing, i.e. permitting non-standard base-pairing at the 3rd anti-codon position. RNAcentral also lists the same sequence under 2 other names. The record is from RNAcentral. Lineage: Eukaryota; Fungi; Basidiomycota; Agaricomycetes; Agaricales; Omphalotaceae.